CCUACGGGAGGCAGCAGUGAGGAAUAUUGGUCAAUGGACGAGAGUCUGAACCAGCCAAGUAGCGUGAAGGAUGACUGCCCUAUGGGUUGUAAACUUCUUUUAUAUGGGAAUAAAAUGUUCCACGUGUGGGCUUUUGUAUGUACCAUAUGAAUAAGGAUCGGCUAACUCCGUGCCAGCAGCCGCGGUAAUACGGAGGAUCCGAGCGUUAUCCGGAUUCAUUGGGUUUAAAGGGUGCGUAGGUUGUUUUAUAAGUUAGCUGUGAAAUACCGAUGCUCAACAUCGGGGCUGCCGCUGAUACUGGAGGACUUGAGAUCGGAUGAAGCAGGCGGAAUGUGUAGUGUAGCGGUGAAAUGCAUAGAUAUUACACAGAACACCGAUUGCGAAGGCAGCUUGCUAGGCCGGAACUGACACUGAUGCACGAAAGCGUGGGGAUCGAACAGGAUUAGAUACCCCAGUAGUC
RNAcentral lists this ribosomal RNA (460 nucleotides) under uncultured bacterium. RNAcentral describes it as "partial 16S ribosomal RNA". It matches the Rfam family "Bacterial small subunit ribosomal RNA", at positions 338 to 795 of the family's 1533-position model. The record is from RNAcentral.